GCACUGAUUUCCAGCUUGACCUCCCUGUGAUGCAGCCUUAUAGCCUGGCCUCUAUCUGCCUCCUCCUCUCACUCAGGUUCACACCAAGGCCCCCAGUUUGAAAAAUACGUGUGUGCUCCUGCACCUAAUGUAUGUGCAUAUUCAGUGUGACUGCAUAUGGAAAUGGAGCAUCCAUGCCAAGAGUUUUCCAGCCAAGAGGAUUUUUGCAUGUGUCUGCCUUAGAAAGGCAACAGAAGAAGGGAAGGAAAAUG
Molecule: long non-coding RNA, 251 nt
Organism: Parus major (Great Tit)
Lineage: Eukaryota; Metazoa; Chordata; Aves; Passeriformes; Paridae
Exons: 3
Source: RefSeq, a predicted model, not a curated record